Long non-coding RNA from Rosa rugosa (rugosa rose), 971 nucleotides. RefSeq lists it as uncharacterized. NCBI's taxonomy places the organism in Eukaryota, Viridiplantae, Streptophyta, Magnoliopsida, Rosales, Rosaceae. The transcript is spliced from 3 exons. The record is from RefSeq and is a predicted model, not a curated record.
CUUUGACUGUUUUGCCCCUGACUGCCUCUUUGUUUUGCCUGACUUUCACUUUGAGAGUGACAGUGAAUCAGAGAGAGAGAGAGAGAGAGGGGCUUUUGCUCAGCUUCCCACAGAGCACAGAGUGUGAGGGAACGAGAAGGAGGAUCGAUAGGCGGGAGGGAGAAAGAUGUAAUCAGGGAGGGGACCUUUCAGUGCCAAUCAGCAGAAGAAGAAGGUUCACUGAAGGGAAAGUCUAAGAGGAGGAAAGGAUUUCUUGAUCGAUUGGGUUCUCCGGAUAGUUGAAUCAGAAAAUUACAAAAUCGACUUGCUUCCUGGAGGCAUCAUCCGAAACCCGGUCUCCUGAUUUGACCUUGAUUCCUCCCUCGAUUUCAGUUUGGGAAUUUCGGUUUCACCUUCAGAGUUUCAAUCUUCGAAUGUAAAAGAGUGGAUGAAUGUGAAGAGAUUUGGGAUGGUGAACGGGGGGGGGGGGGGGGGCGGGAAGAGGAAGAAGAAGAAGGUGAUUCUGGGUCAUUGAGUUUUUCUGUGAGGAGGAAGAAGACCUGCGUUUCGGGUAACUCUGCUUGUCAGGAAAGGAAAUUCCAAAAGACGCUGAUGUGCAACCACAAAUGCCUUUAUGCGGGUGCUGAUCAUGUAUUACUUAAGGUUGGAAUUCAAGUUCAUCAUUUGAGGAUAUAUGAUUAUCAAGUAGACUGAUAGAUUUACUAUUAAAUGCAUCUCUUAUUUGAUUGUGGCAAGUAGACUUACAAGUAUAUGUUGUAAUUAGAAAGUCCAAAGCAAGUCUAUGUUGUAAUUAGGUUGUUGUCUUCCCCUUCCACCGUCUUGAUGUACUCGUUUUUCUUUUUCCCUCGCUCUGUCGAGGUUUGCUAAAAAAAAAAAAAUAUGUUGUAAUUAGAAACGUUACAGGAUACUGUUGUAUUAUGUAAUCGUUGUUAUAAUGGAACAUGGGAGCGAGGGAUAGGUUUUUGGUGAUA